CUGGAACACGAGCGCAAGAGUAAUAUGCAGCCUUCAAAGAAAAAGAGACGACAUCACCGACAUUCGGCAAUGGGUGAAUCGG
Molecule: non-coding RNA, 82 nt
Filed under: Gloeochaete wittrockiana
Lineage: Eukaryota; Glaucocystophyceae; Gloeochaetales; Gloeochaetaceae
Source: RNAcentral